UCAAAUCCCGCAGCCGGCGGAUAGCGCGACGAAACGUAGUGCAAACGAGGCCAAAGUGAAAAGCCGCGCAUUAUCGACGGCCGCGCUUGUGUCUACAAUGUUCGCCCGCACGAUUCUACCUUGUACGCGAGCUGGCAGACGCGUUAUGAACGGCGUGAAAGCGAUUUCAACCCUGUUGCUUGAAACGUCGAACGGCUGGCAUUGGACGAUAUUAACGAUAACAUAUUUUCUCGAACGCGAACGUUUAAUAAGAAAUAAACCGAAUGUUAUAAAACACAGUGCUUGUACGUUACCGACUCAUACGAAUAUAUGUAUAACGAUAUCUCGAGGUGAGAGAAAUUCGGAAGACGGUAAAUCAACAUGGCGUCACCGUUCGCCAUCGUCGCCGAUAUCGAGAAAUCCUCGGAUGCAAGAUUUUUGCCGAAGAAUUUAGAAGCCUUCCAGAAACAACAGCUACGAUGUCGAAAGGCAAUACCACGUAUUUGGAGAAGAAAUUACGUUACAAGAUAACGAGUAUUAAAAAAUCUAUUAGUAAACCAUUAUUUCUAACAGUAUAAUAAAUAUCAUAGCUGGAUGAUCAACGGCUAGCAAAAUCCAUCGAAGUUGACAGAAACGCAGGAACCGACAUUGACGCGUCACCGGUGGAAAAACCUCAUGAGAACAUCGGAUAUCCGGUGCAUUCAGCUUCACCCUAAUGUAUUCACCAUAGCGUAACAGAUAGCUGGAACAUUAGAGCAAAUCGAACGAAAGAGGACGAUCAAUUUUUCUACAUUAACUCCGAAUGCCUAUUUAUCUCGUGAGAUCAAGGAGUUCUUUUUGGUCCGAUGACGUCUGAAGAACAAGUUUCUCGAACGGAGCAUUCCUAUCAAUGACAAAAUCUUUUCGAGAGGAACCCGAUUAAUCUCGGAUAAAACGACACCGAGAAAAGAAACGAAGAUUCGUUGGAAAUGAGUGAAAGUAUAGCGGUACAUUGUACAGCUCGCCGAAUUCCUCGGAGAAAUUUCGAAACUUCAUUAGCACCGACAAGAUUGACACAGUACAGUAAAUUCUCCCCAAUUUUCCUUCAGCUUGUAAACAAAAAUGGACAAUUUGGGAGG
This is a long non-coding RNA of Megalopta genalis, 1097 nucleotides long. RefSeq lists it as uncharacterized. The record is from RefSeq and is a predicted model, not a curated record. NCBI's taxonomy places the organism in Eukaryota, Metazoa, Arthropoda, Insecta, Hymenoptera, Halictidae.